Molecule: ribosomal RNA, 607 nt
Filed under: uncultured soil bacterium
Lineage: Bacteria
Description: bacterial SSU rRNA
Rfam family: Bacterial small subunit ribosomal RNA
Source: RNAcentral
GCUGGCGGCGUGCCUAACACAUGCAAGUCGAGCGAGAAAAGGGGGGCAACUCCCUGAGUACAGCGGCGCACGGGUGAGUAACACGUAGGUAACCUGCCCUCGAGCCUGGGAUAACCUACCGAAAGGUGGGCUAAUACCGGAUAUGACCACGGGAGUUACGGCUUCUGCGGUGAAAGAUGGCCUCUGCUUGCACGCCAUUUCUCGAGGAUGGGCCUGCGCGCCAUUAGCUAGUUGGCGGGGUAAUGGCCCACCAAGGCUAUGAUGGCUAGCUGGUCUGAGAGGAUGACCAGCCACACUGGGACUGGAACACGGCCCAGACUCCUACGGGAGGCAGCAGUGGGGGAUAUUGCGCAAUGGGCGAAAGCCUGACGCAGCGACGCCGCGUGGGUGAUGAAGGCCUUCGGGUCGUAAAGCCCUGUCGAGGGGGACGAACCGGCUGCGAUCGAAUAGAUCGCAGCCCUGACGGUACUUCUAAAGGAAGCACCGGCUAACUCCGUGCCAGCAGCCGCGGUAAUACGGAGGGUGCGAGCGUUGUUCGGAAUCACUGGGCGUAAAGCGCGUGUAGGCGGCCUGCUAAGUCUGAUGUGAAAGCCCGAGGCUCACCCUC